AGCGGGGGCGGGGUGAGGGACCCGGAUGCCCGGGCAGUUUCCCCACCCACCUCGGCGGAGGGCUCGGCGGCUUCAGAGUCUGCAGUGCGCAGGCGCGGCGCUCCCUGGCCAGGCCUGGUGCGGCCCUGGCCGCUGGCUCUGUUCCUGGUUAGAACUACGCCAGACAGGCCGGGCGAGGUGGCUCACGCCUGUAAUCCCAGCACUUUGGGAGGCUGAGGCGGGCAGAUCACGAGGUCAGGAGAUCGAGACCAUCUUGGCUAACGCGAUGAAACCCCGUCUCUACUAAAAAUACAAAAAAUUAAAUUAGCCGGGUGUGGUGGCGGGCGCCUGUAGUCCCAGCUACUUGGGAGGCUGAGGCAGGAGAAUCGCCUGAACCUGGGAGGCGGAGCUUGCAGUGAGCCGAGAUCGUGCCACUGCACACCAGCCUGGGCGACAGA
Molecule: long non-coding RNA, 437 nt
Filed under: Homo sapiens (human)
Lineage: Eukaryota; Metazoa; Chordata; Mammalia; Primates; Hominidae
Description: HSALNT0399264
Source: RNAcentral